Molecule: ribosomal RNA, 1554 nt
Filed under: Escherichia coli
Lineage: Bacteria; Pseudomonadati; Pseudomonadota; Gammaproteobacteria; Enterobacterales; Enterobacteriaceae
Description: bacterial SSU rRNA
Rfam family: Bacterial small subunit ribosomal RNA
Source: RNAcentral
AAAUUGAAGAGUUUGAUCAUGGCUCAGAUUGAACGCUGGCGGCAGGCCUAACACAUGCAAGUCGAACGGUAACAGGAAGCAGCUUGCUGUUUUGCUGACGAGUGGCGGACGGGUGAGUAAUGUCUGGGAAACUGCCUGAUGGAGGGGGAUAACUACUGGAAACGGUAGCUAAUACCGCAUAACGUCGCAAGACCAAAGAGGGGGACCUUAGGGCCUCUUGCCAUCGGAUGUGCCCAGAUGGGAUUAGCUAGUAGGUGGGGUAACGGCUCACCUAGGCGACGAUCCCUAGCUGGUCUGAGAGGAUGACCAGCCACACUGGAACUGAGACACGGUCCAGACUCCUACGGGAGGCAGCAGUGGGGAAUAUUGCACAAUGGGCGCAAGCCUGAUGCAGCCAUGCCGCGUGUAUGAAGAAGGCCUUCGGGUUGUAAAGUACUUUCAGCGGGGAGGAAGGGAGUAAAGUUAAUACCUUUGCUCAUUGACGUUACCCGCAGAAGAAGCACCGGCUAACUCCGUGCCAGCAGCCGCGGUAAUACGGAGGGUGCAAGCGUUAAUCGGAAUUACUGGGCGUAAAGCGCACGCAGGCGGUUUGUUAAGUCAGAUGUGAAAUCCCCGGGCUCAACCUGGGAACUGCAUCUGAUACUGGCAAGCUUGAGUCUCGUAGAGGGGGGUAGAAUUCCAGGUGUAGCGGUGAAAUGCGUAGAGAUCUGGAGGAAUACCGGUGGCGAAGGCGGCCCCCUGGACGAAGACUGACGCUCAGGUGCGAAAGCGUGGGGAGCAAACAGGAUUAGAUACCCUGGUAGUCCACGCCGUAAACGAUGUCGACUUGGAGGUUGUGCCCUUGAGGCGUGGCUUCCGGAGCUAACGCGUUAAGUCGACCGCCUGGGGAGUACGGCCGCAAGGUUAAAACUCAAAUGAAUUGACGGGGGCCCGCACAAGCGGUGGAGCAUGUGGUUUAAUUCGAUGCAACGCGAAGAACCUUACCUGGUCUUGACAUCCACGGAAGUUUUCAGAGAUGAGAAUGUGCCUUCGGGAACCGUGAGACAGGUGCUGCAUGGCUGUCGUCAGCUCGUGUUGUGAAAUGUUGGGUUAAGUCCCGCAACGAGCGCAACCCUUAUCCUUUGUUGCCAGCGGUCCGGCCGGGAACUCAAAGGAGACUGCCAGUGAUAAACUGGAGGAAGGUGGGGAUGACGUCAAGUCAUCAUGGCCCUUACGACCAGGGCUACACACGUGCUACAAUGGCGCAUACAAAGAGAAGCGACCUCGCGAGAGCAAGCGGACCUCAUAAAGUGCGUCGUAGUCCGGAUUGGAGUCUGCAACUCGACUCCAUGAAGUCGGAAUCGCUAGUAAUCGUGGAUCAGAAUGCCACGGUGAAUACGUUCCCGGGCCUUGUACACACCGCCCGUCACACCAUGGGAGUGGGUUGCAAAAGAAGUAGGUAGCUUAACCUUCGGGAGGGCGCUUACCACUUUGUGAUUCAUGACUGGGGUGAAGUCGUAACAAGGUAACCGUAGGGGAACCUGCGGUUGGAUCACCUCCUUACCUUAAAGAAGC